AUUGAACGCUGGCGGCAUGCUUUACACAUGCAAGUCGAACGGUAACAGGCCUUCGGGUGCUGACGAGUGGCGAACGGGUGAGUAAUGCAUCGGAACGUGCCCAAUCGUGGGGGAUAACGUAGCGAAAGUUACGCUAAUACCGCAUAAGCCCUGAGGGGGAAAGUGGGGGACCGCAAGGCCUCACGCGAAUGGAGCGGCCGAUGUCAGAUUAGCUAGUUGGUGGGGUAAAGGCCCACCAAGGCGACGAUCUGUAGCGGGUCUGAGAGGAUGAUCCGCCACACUGGGACUGAGACACGGCCCAGACUCCUACGGGAGGCAGCAGUGGGGAAUCUUAGACAAUGGGCGCAAGCCUGAUCUAGCCAUGCCGCGUGAGCGAUGAAGGCCUUAGGGUUGUAAAGCUCUUUCAGGGGGGAAGAUAAUGACUGUACCCCCAGAAGAAGCCCCGGCUAACUCCGUGCCAGCAGCCGCGGUAAAGUGUGACUG
This 483-nucleotide ribosomal RNA is filed under the name uncultured bacterium. RNAcentral describes it as "bacterial SSU rRNA". It matches the Rfam family "Bacterial small subunit ribosomal RNA", at positions 29 to 532 of the family's 1533-position model. The record is from RNAcentral.